This 481-nucleotide long non-coding RNA is filed under the name Struthio camelus australis. RNAcentral describes it as "lncRNA (ENSSCUG00000012800.1)". Lineage: Eukaryota; Metazoa; Chordata; Aves; Struthioniformes; Struthionidae. The record is from RNAcentral.
GUAACAGAUCCUGAGAUUUUGCAUCACUGUAUUGUAACCUUUUCCUCCCCUCUGCAAUUGCUUUUGAACAGCCAGACGUGUCACAGAGGUGCAACGACGUACUCAGAGGCAGGCAUCUAAUUGUCUCCAACCUCGGUGAGAGAUGAGUAGCAGCACUGCUUCUUUCAGGUGGGUCUGAGAGCUGCUGUGGAACUGAAGACCAGGAGUUGCCUACGUUAACCGGAGGACUGAGAUGCUCUGAUCAGCCUGCCUGCUGAGGCAGUGGUUACAGCUCGAGUAGCAUACUGUUCCUUUUUACAUUCCUGGUAGCCAGAGGGUCUUUCACCCUGAUGUGAGAACUGUGUGAAUCAAAAAUAUCGGCAAUGUUCCUCGCUGGCUUACACUCAGCUGAGUGCUAGAGAGCCCUCUUCUGCUGGGUGCUGUACACACACUGUGCAAAAGGAGGAUGUUGCCGUGAAGAGUUUCUAGCCUGAGCAGUGGA